UACGGAGGGUGCGAGCGUUGUCCGGAAUCAUUGGGCGUAAAGGGCGCGUAGGUGGCCCGGUCAGUCUUUGGUGAAAGCGCGGGGCUCAACCCUGCGUCGGCCAGGGAUACUGCCGCGGCUCGAGCACUGUAGAGGCAGGCGGAAUUCCGGGUGUAGCGGUGGAAUGCGUAGAGAUCCGGAAGAACACCGGUGGCGAAGGCGGUCUGCUGGGCAGUAGCUGGCACUGAGGCGCGACAGCGUGGGGAGCAAACAGG
Molecule: ribosomal RNA, 254 nt
Filed under: uncultured bacterium
Lineage: Bacteria
Description: partial 16S ribosomal RNA
Rfam family: Bacterial small subunit ribosomal RNA
Source: RNAcentral